This 65-nucleotide transfer RNA is filed under the name Candidimonas sp. RNAcentral describes it as "tRNA-Ser". Lineage: Bacteria; Pseudomonadati; Pseudomonadota; Betaproteobacteria; Burkholderiales; Alcaligenaceae. RNAcentral also lists the same sequence under 2 other names. The record is from RNAcentral.
GCCGAAGUGGUAAGAAAAUCCCUCGAUCAUAGAUCGUACCGGUUCGAUUCCGGUCCCGGGCACCA